UUUUUUUUUAUUCACUGGUGAUAAAAGUCACAAUAUUCUUUAUCAUAGGAAUGACAAGCCAGCUACAGCUACAACAGAAAUUUUUUGCAAAAAUUUACAUUUCAGAAGAUAAAAGACCUAAAUAACAGUUAUGUUUAUCAAUAAAAUGCAAUAUUGUACAUUUUGUCUGAUAUAAAUACUGCAUAAGGUUAACCAAUGAAUGUGAUGUUUAUGCCAAGUUUUUAAAAAUUACAU
This 234-nucleotide long non-coding RNA is filed under the name Mytilus galloprovincialis (Mediterranean mussel). Lineage: Eukaryota; Metazoa; Mollusca; Bivalvia; Mytilida; Mytilidae. The record is from RNAcentral.